CAAACGGGUACAUAUAUACCCUGACACAAAGGUACACGUUGAUACAAAAGUACACAGGUAUACAGACACACAAGUACACAAACAGGCACACAGGUGCCUGACAUACACACAUACAUAUACAAUUUACUUACUUUUGAUGCAGAAGGGUGGCUUCCCAGGGGGCCAGUGGAAGCUUGCUGACCUAGGCUGAUGGGAGUCUAAGGCACCAGGCUUCCUCAGCUCCUCCUACCCACACAGCACUCUUUUAGUUGGGAGGAAGUGACCUGUCCUGAACUCACUUCCUCCCAGCAGGCCGGUAGAACAAAGUGAAAGUGGCUCGGUCCAGGAGCAUUUUAAAGAGCCACGGGUACCUGAUUAAAUUGUUG
Molecule: non-coding RNA, 365 nt
Organism: Pelobates cultripes (western spadefoot toad)
Lineage: Eukaryota; Metazoa; Chordata; Amphibia; Anura; Pelobatidae
Source: the annotation of a GenBank genome assembly